UUAAGUUCAGCGGGUAGUCCUACCUGAUUUGAGGUCAAAAAGAUCAAAUUGUCCCGUGAAGGACGAUUAGAAGCCAGACAAUCCGAGCUACACAGUGACGACAUUAUCACACCGCAUAUAUGCUGCGAAUCAAAUUCCAGCUAAUACAUUCAAGGGAAGCCAAUUUGCACCAGCAAUCCCCAAGUCCAAGCUCACCCUUC
Molecule: unclassified non-coding RNA, 200 nt
Filed under: Hyphodontia sp.
Lineage: Eukaryota; Fungi; Basidiomycota; Agaricomycetes; Hymenochaetales; Schizoporaceae
Description: partial internal transcribed spacer 2
Source: RNAcentral